This 536-nucleotide long non-coding RNA is filed under the name Mytilus galloprovincialis (Mediterranean mussel). The record is from RNAcentral. Lineage: Eukaryota; Metazoa; Mollusca; Bivalvia; Mytilida; Mytilidae.
GUUUUUUUUUAAACAAAUAUAACUUUAUUGAGUUAUUGUGCAUUAUUCCAAUGCUGUUUUGUACAAAUUUACAAAAAAAGUUUAUUUUUUGCCAUGCAAACACGAAGAUUAACGAAUCUGUAAUUUCAUAUCAAUGCAUGAUCCUAAAACUUCUCCAGUUCUUCAUAUUUACAAGAUACCCAAUUCGCAAGGACUUAAAUAUCUAUGAACAAUUCUCAGCAUAUUCAUCAUAUUAAACCAACUUAAAAGAGGUCAAUACAAACAAGAAAUUGACGUAAAUACAAACAAUAAUAAACUACAAACGAACAAUUGAAGGAGUGGAAGGGGACGUGUUACGGUACUUAUCUAUCCCAAAUUUAUGUAUUUAGUUUGAUGUUUUAUUUGUAAUUCUCAUCGGAUUUUGUCAAAUUUGUUGACGUCUUUUCUAUUAUAUUUAUGUGUUAUGGUAAAUAAAAUUAAUCACCUCCUUCCUUUAUUAGAUUUGAUUUUGUUCAACGUAAUCUGAACGAUGUUUUACGUUUGAGGUUCAAUUCAAA